RNAcentral lists this ribosomal RNA (451 nucleotides) under uncultured bacterium. RNAcentral's name for it is "bacterial SSU rRNA". It matches the Rfam family "Bacterial small subunit ribosomal RNA", at positions 340 to 786 of the family's 1533-position model. The record is from RNAcentral.
UACGGGAGGCAGCAGUGGGGAAUAUUGCACAAUGGGCGCAAGCCUGAUGCAGCCAUGCCGCGUGUAUGAAGAAGGCCUUCGGGUUGUAAAGUACUUUCAGUCGUGAGGAAGGUGUUAAGGUUAAUAACCUUAGCAAUUGACGUUAGCGACAGAAGAAGCACCGGCUAACUCCGUGCCAGCAGCCGCGGUAAUACGGAGGGUGCGAGCGUUAAUCGGAAUUACUGGGCGUAAAGGGCACGCAGGCGGUUAAUUAAGUUGGAUGUGAAAUCCCCGGGCUUAGCCUGGGAAUGGCAUUCAAGACUGGUUAGCUAGAGUCUUGUAGAGGGGGUAGAAUUCCAUGUGUAGCGGUGAAAUGCGUAGAGAUGUGGAGGAAUACCGGUGGCGAAGGCGGCCCCUGGACAAGACUGACGCUCAUGUGCGAAAGCGUGGGGAGCAAACAGGAUUAGAUACC